Molecule: long non-coding RNA, 1563 nt
Organism: Parus major (Great Tit)
Lineage: Eukaryota; Metazoa; Chordata; Aves; Passeriformes; Paridae
Source: Ensembl
CAUUCCCAGCUCUCCUGGAGCCCCUUCAGGCCCUGCAGGGGCUCUGAGCUCUGUGCUCAGAGCAGAGGUGCCCCAUCCCUCUGACCACCUUGGAAGAGGUUGAAACCAGACAGCUUUCAGUUCCCUUCCCACGCAGACCAUUCCCUGAUUCCACAUUGAUUUUCCCUGUAACAAUCCAUGAAUUUCCACAUAAUAAUCAUUGGGAGAGUCUCUCCGUGGGGAGCUGAGGACGCUUCACCGGGCAGAAAACACAAAGCAGCGGGAGGGGCUCAGGUCCCAGCAUUGCCUGGAGGGCUGGGGGAGGCUUUGGGAGCGUUCCCGGUGUGGCUGAGGCCGUUCCCGGUGUCCCCGCAGGAGUGAGGAGCCCUUGCCCUGCACCGAAGCCACGUUGAACGGCCCCGCUUGAUGGCAGCGCCCCGGGACGUGUGUGAGAGCCAGGCCAGGCUGCUCCCUGUUUUUAAUGGAUGCAGGAACAGCAACACUUUUGCACUUUGUACCUGGCGAUGGCAGCGUCGGAGGGGACACGGCUGCCCGGGGAGGGGACACCCAGGUCCCUCGGGGCCGUGGGAGAGCGGGGCCAGGAUUGGUGCUAGAGUUCUGCUGGACAUCGGCUUCCCUUGGGGCGUUCUCGGGGCUGGUUCCAUGGAAGCUGAAGGAUCCAUGUGCUGGUACAGCCUGGCUGGGUCCUGGGGGAUGCUUUUCCAGCCUGUUCCCGGUGCCGUGUGGGAUCGGCUGGAGCGUUCCUGUGGCUGGGAUCCCUUGCCGAGGGUCUCCAGGGGAUGGGGCUGUCCGUGCCUUCCGCUGCAAUUCCAGCCUGGCAUUCCUCAGCUUCGGCUCCCUGAGUGUCAGUGAGAGCUUUAACAAUAACCAUUCUAUUAAUAAUAAUGAUUCUAAUAAUAAUAAUAAUAAUAUCCUUGGCCAUGUCCUGAUCCGAGCACAGCUCCUUACUGGGCUGAUUUAUUUCUUAGUGCUGAGACACAUCUCUGGGGCUGGCUCAGAGCUGGGGAGAUGCACAAAUCCCACGGGUUUGGUGCCCGUGGAUGAUCCCUCCACGGCUGGGAUUGAGGCUCUCACUUCUUCCACCUCUCCCUUCCCUGGGGUUGUUCCUCCCAGCAGCCAGGGCUGCUCCAGAACCGACUCCUGCUGCCUGGGCUCCGAGCAGAGCCUGGCUCCUGGCCUGGCUCCCGUGUUCCCGUGGGGAAACCGGCAAUAGGAAACCCUCCGGAGGCACAGCGGGCGUGGAGCCUCCCAGCUGGGCUUUUCCUUCUCCCUGUGCUCCGGGAGGGGUUUCCCAGGGCUGGAGCGGGAUCUCCCGGCUCCUGAGGAUGGAAUUCCCUGUCCCCCCCUCCCCUCAUCCCUGGCCCUGUGCGGCUCCGUGUCCCGAGUCCUGCUUGACGCUUCCCCCCUGCCCCAGGAUCUCCUGGUGUUCCAUGGAUCCCGGGAGAAACCUGGGAAGGGCCAGGGGAGCACGAGGAGCUGGGCUUGAGCUCCGUGAGCAGCACGGCCCAUCCAGGGGGUGCUUCUGGAAUGUUCUGUGCAGUGGUUCUGCCUGCCUGGGCAUCC